This 178-nucleotide ribosomal RNA is filed under the name actinobacterium enrichment culture DGGE band B2. RNAcentral's name for it is "partial 16S ribosomal RNA". It matches the Rfam family "Bacterial small subunit ribosomal RNA", at positions 334 to 524 of the family's 1533-position model. Lineage: Bacteria; Bacillati; Actinomycetota; Actinomycetes. The record is from RNAcentral.
UACUCCUACGGGAGGCAGCAGUGGGGAAUAUUGCACAAUGGGCGGAAGCCUGAUGCAGCAACGCCGCGUGCGGGAUGACGGCCUUCGGGUUGUAAACCGCUUUCGCCUGUGACGAAGCGUGAGUGACGGGAAUGGGUAAAGAAGCACCGGCUAACUACGUGCCAGCAGCCGCGGUAAU